GGGCUCGGGCUUCUUGAUGCGGUUCCACACGCGCGUGUUACGGCCGAACACCUCGUGAGCCGAUUGGGUCACGUCGGCGAGCGUCCGCUUGUCGUCGGGCAGCUCGCGCCAGCAGGCGUCAAGCGCCUGGCGGACGAGGUGAUCCACCCCGUGGGGCCCGAGCACGUGGAACAAUUCCGACGGCGACUUGGCCGUCCAGCGGUAGGCUUCCCAGCUCAUGUCACGCAAUGAUACGCGCGAACGCCGUGGACGCACUC
RNAcentral lists this unclassified non-coding RNA (257 nucleotides) under plant metagenome. Its description in RNAcentral is "partial contains 5.8S ribosomal RNA, internal transcribed spacer 2, and large subunit ribosomal RNA". The record is from RNAcentral.